UCACCGAUCUUGAGUUUCUUCCUUCCAUUCUUCAUGAUUUUUAUGAGUUUUCACCUUCGUUUUGAAGAUUUUCGAGUAUAAAGCAAGUUUUGGAGCUUUGAGGUUCAAGAAGCUCAAUCUCUCCCAUCUCCGAGCUAGGGUCGUUCUCCUCUCGAUCUUCAAGAGGUAAGGGCCGAUCUUGAGCUCAUUUUAUGUUUUAAACAAGUUUUAAGUUGAUCUUUGGGGUAGAAAUGCAUGUUUAGGUUUUUGGUUGGUUUAAGGGUUAUGUUAAGUUUUUGAGCAAUGUAUGAUGCUUGUGGUUGUUUGAUGUGUUGUAGAUGGGGUUUAGGAUAGUUUGAAGCCCCUAGGAGCUGAUGUAUGUAUCUAUGUAUGUUUUGAGUGAGUUGUAUGCUUGAUCUAAAAGGUUGGGAGGCAACUGUGCAUGAGGAACCAAGUUUCUGUCCUUUGGUAGAAACCAGGUUCGGCAGCCGAAGGACUUUCGGCCGCCGAACCUGCUUGGGAGGCAAGCCUUUCGGCUGCCGAAGCCUGCCCCCGAAAGAGGACUUUCGUCUCUGGAGGGUAGUUUCGGCCGCCGAAAGUGCCGCCGAACAUGCAUGAGUUUCGUCUCUGUCUGGGAG
RNAcentral lists this long non-coding RNA (617 nucleotides) under Manihot esculenta (cassava). RNAcentral's name for it is "long non-coding RNA (MESC_LNC007580)". The record is from RNAcentral. Lineage: Eukaryota; Viridiplantae; Streptophyta; Magnoliopsida; Malpighiales; Euphorbiaceae.